This 845-nucleotide ribosomal RNA is filed under the name uncultured bacterium. RNAcentral describes it as "bacterial SSU rRNA". It matches the Rfam family "Bacterial small subunit ribosomal RNA", at positions 13 to 848 of the family's 1533-position model. The record is from RNAcentral.
UUGAUCCUGGCUCAGGAUGAACGCUAGCUACAGGCUUAACACAUGCAAGUCGAGGGGAAACGACAUCGAAAGCUUGCUUUUGAUGGGCGUCGACCGGCGCACGGGUGAGUAACGCGUAUCCAACCUGCCCACCACUUGGGGAUAACCUUGCGAAAGUAAGACUAAUACCCAAUGAUAUCUCUAGAAGACAUCUGAAAGGGAUUAAAGAUUUAUCGGUGAUGGAUGGGGAUGCGUCUGAUUAGCUUGUUGGCGGGGUAACGGCCCACCAAGGCUACGAUCAGUAGGGGUUCUGAGAGGAAGGUCCCCCACAUUGGAACUGAGACACGGUCCAAACUCCUACGGGAGGCAGCAGUGAGGAAUAUUGGUCAAUGGACGAGAGUCUGAACCAGCCAAGUAGCGUGCAGGAUGACGGCCCUAUGGGUUGUAAACUGCUUUUAUAAGGGAAUAAAGUGAGUCUCGUGAGACUUUUUGCAUGUACCUUAUGAAUAAGGACCGGCUAAUUCCGUGCCAGCAGCCGCGGUAAUACGGAAGGUCCGGGCGUUAUCCGGAUUUAUUGGGUUUAAAGGGAGCGUAGGCCGGAGAUUAAGCGUGUUGUGAAAUGUAGACGCUCAACGUCUGCACUGCAGCGCGAACUGGUUUCCUUGAGUACGCACAAAGUGGGCGGAAUUCGUGGUGUAGCGGUGAAAUGCUUAGAUAUCACGAAGAACUCCGAUUGCGAAGGCAGCUCACUGGAGCGCAACUGACGCUGAAGCUCGAAAGUGCGGGUAUCGAACAGGAUUAGAUACCCUGGUAGUCCGCACGGUAAACGAUGGAUGCCCGCUGUUGGUCUGAAUGGGUCAGCGGCC